AUUACAAUUUGAAUAUUAGUAAUGAGUGAUGGGUGAUCUUAUGUGUGUCUAACUUUGGUAUUAUAUUACAUUAAUUGAAAUAAAGCCAUUAAGACUGCAGUUUUUAAACACUUUGCAGAAUUAUUUAACUACCUGGGAGGCUGAAUGCGACAUAAUCCAUGUCAAUAAUUGUCGCUAUCUGAUAUUGUAUCAGUUUUAGGUUGGGCUUUAGGCCGGUAACUGCUGUUUUCUGAUCAAAAUUAUAUGGUGAACCGUGUUUAUUUCAAUUUCAUAGGAACUUUUUAUUUCACCCGUUCAGUGUAAAACAUGGGCAACGGUGCUAUGUUCUGGAAUGUCACAUUUCUAGCGUGGAUUGGUCUAUGGUUAUCGGAUGUUCUAGGGAAUGUCAAUAGUACUUGAUGUCAUCCCAUUAAGUGGUAUCCAGUGAUGCAACAGAUCAGAUAUGAUUUACAGGCGAAUUUUACCUCAGCCUAUCCUGCGACAGUAAUCAAAACAGUGAAGAAAACUAUGACAUUCUUCCAGUGGUAUUCACAAUGCCUUAGUCUGAAAAUCGACGUGUACAAAAAAGAGCACCAAAAAGAAAAGAUUUCGAAUGUGUUUUAGCUGUAGUUGGAGCGUGACUGUUUUGUAAAUUGAGUGUUGGAAUAAAACGUGUUUUGAAACUGGAUUCGUUUUGCACUUACAUUCGUUUUAGAACUGAAUGGUAUUGGUGUGGAAUUUAUUUUUUUACAAUUGUAGUUAAUCAUUUUUUUUAAUUCUCAUCUUAGUACUAUCUGUCGAUAAUUUGAAUUACGGUAGGUGUCUGCAUUCACUCAUGUUUGAGUCUCAACUCUUUGUUUGUGUGAAUUAUGGCAAAAUAGUUUUUUUUAUUUCGGGAAGAAUAUGUUUUCUGCUAUUUAUGAUGCUGCAUUUUGUCAUCAAAUUGUUCUUUUGUAAAUACUUUGUAUAAAUCAUAAUUAUGGAGUAUUUUGCAAAGAACAUAAACAGUAAGCAACUGAAUUUACCGUAGACUGUCGAAACGCCAUUGUUUUCUUGGAUCCCUGUCUAUUAUGGUAUUUACUUCAGUGUAUAUUUACCUCCUUUCAAUUUC
This is a long non-coding RNA of Mytilus trossulus (common blue mussel), 1090 nucleotides long. RefSeq lists it as uncharacterized. Lineage: Eukaryota; Metazoa; Mollusca; Bivalvia; Mytilida; Mytilidae. The record is from RefSeq and is a predicted model, not a curated record. The transcript has 3 exons.